UAAUGUCGACUGCUCCUGCACCAUCUUCGCCGCCGGCGGGUAACGCCACCGCACCACCACCAGCAACACCUACUGCACCACCACCUGCAACACCUUCAUCACCACCACCUGCAACACCUUCAUCACCACCUCCGGCAACACCUUCAUCACCUCCGCCGUCAACUCCGGCGAAUCCACCACCGGUCACCCCAUCUGCUCCGCCUCCUUCUACCCCGGCAACACCUUCAUCACCACCUCCGUCGACGACUCCAUCAGCACCACCACCAUCAACACCUUCAAAUUCACCAC
RNAcentral lists this long non-coding RNA (288 nucleotides) under Medicago truncatula (barrel medic). Its description in RNAcentral is "long non-coding RNA (MTRU_LNC004540)". The record is from RNAcentral. Lineage: Eukaryota; Viridiplantae; Streptophyta; Magnoliopsida; Fabales; Fabaceae.